This 253-nucleotide ribosomal RNA is filed under the name uncultured bacterium. RNAcentral describes it as "partial 16S ribosomal RNA". It matches the Rfam family "Bacterial small subunit ribosomal RNA", at positions 524 to 776 of the family's 1533-position model. The record is from RNAcentral.
UACAUGUGGGGCAAGCGUUGUUCGGAAUCACUGGGCUUAAAGCGUGUGUAGGCGGAUCGUUAAGUACCUUGUGAAAUCCCACGGCUCACCCGUGGAACUGCUGGGUAUACUGGCGAUCUUGGGCCAACUAGGGGCAGCUGGAACAAGCGGUGGAGCGGUGAAAUGCGUAGAUAUCGCUUGGAACGCCGAAGGUGAAAACAGGCUGCUGGGGUUGUGCCGACGCUGAGACACGAAAGCCAGGGGAGCAAACGGG